This 71-nucleotide transfer RNA is filed under the name Stegodyphus mimosarum. It matches the Rfam family "tRNA". Rfam says of the family: Transfer RNA (tRNA) molecules are approximately 80 nucleotides in length. Their secondary structure includes four short double-helical elements and three loops (D, anti-codon, and T loops). The record is from Rfam by way of RNAcentral. Lineage: Eukaryota; Metazoa; Arthropoda; Arachnida; Araneae; Eresidae.
ACUUUCGUGGUGCAACGGUAGCACACUCGGCGCGUAUUCCAGAGGUCCAGGUUCGAGUCCCGGCGAGAGCA